UGGGGAAUUUUGGACAAUGGGCGCAAGCCUGAUCCAGCAAUGCCGCGUGCAGGAUGUAGGCCUUCGGGUUGUAAACUGCUUUUGUACGGAGCGAAAAGGUCUGCCCUAAUACGGUGGGCUCAUGACGGUACCUGAAGAAUAAGCACCGGCUAACUACGUGCCAGCAGCCGCGGUAAUACGUAGGGUGCAAGCGUUAAUCGGAAUUACUGGGCGUAAAGCGUGCGCAGGCGGUUAUGCAAGACAGAGGUGAAAUCCCCGGGCUCAACCUGGGAACUGCCUUUGUGGCUGCAUAGCUAGAGUACGGCAGAGGGGGGUGGAAUUCCACGUGUAGCAGUGAAAUGCGUAGAGAUGUGGAGGAACACCGAUGGCGAAGGCAGCCCCCUGGGCCGAUACUGACGCUCAUGCACGAAAGCGUGGGUAGCAAACA
RNAcentral lists this ribosomal RNA (427 nucleotides) under uncultured bacterium. RNAcentral's name for it is "bacterial SSU rRNA". It matches the Rfam family "Bacterial small subunit ribosomal RNA", at positions 355 to 774 of the family's 1533-position model. The record is from RNAcentral.